UCCGGUUUGUCACCGGCAGUCUCGCAUGAGUCCCCAACUAAAUGCUGGCAACAUGCGACGGGGGUUGCGCUCGUUGCGGGACUUAACCCAACAUCUCACGACACGAGCUGACGACAGCCAUGCACCACCUGUGAUCGCGCCCCGAAGGGAGAGUGUGUUUCCACACCUGUCACUGACAUGUCAAGCCCAGGUAAGGUGGGGAUGACGUUUACCGACAGCU
This 220-nucleotide unclassified non-coding RNA is filed under the name uncultured Solirubrobacterales bacterium. RNAcentral describes it as "contains 16S-23S intergenic spacer region". The record is from RNAcentral. Lineage: Bacteria; Bacillati; Actinomycetota; Thermoleophilia; Solirubrobacterales.